AAAUAUGACAUUAGCCAUUACAAUAUUCGGUCCGCGUUAGAUUUUAUUGCCGAUGCUCCACUGCCACAUUAGCCACUACAGGUGGCACGGUACAAAACGUCGAUAAAAGAGCUGUAUAUGGGAUACACGAAUUGCAAAUUUGAAUGUUCCAAUACAAAAUUUAUACCGUUGGAGGGUGUACAAGCGCGGAGCAGUCUUUCUUGGUGGCGACGGAAGAAAAAAUUGAGGAAAUAAUGGCGGAAGCCAUGUGGAUAAACUGUUAUUGCUCGGCGCAAAAGAUACUUCUCGUCGGAGAGGGAGACUUCUCUUUCUUUCUCUACCUCGCCACUGUCUUUGGCUCUGCCUUCAACAUCGUCGCAACCUCACUAGACUCAUACGGUUCUCUCGCUCCCCCUCUCUCUUUCUCUACUUCUCUCUCUACUUCUCUCUCUCUACAUACUCUGAAGCUCUCUUUCUAGCCAGUUUGAGACAAAAAGGGUUAUUUUUUGUGAUUUUAUGUGCUUAUUAGCUCUUUGGCUCUGCUUUGGGUUUUCUUGAUGCAUUUUUGGUUUUUUUUUUCUUGGGUUCUCACCUUCGAUUGCUUUUGCUCUGUCUUUUAUGGAGAGGUCAAGGGGAUUUACUUAAUAAGCCCAUUAAAAUCACAAAAAAUAACCCUUUUCGUCUCAAACAGAUUGGAAAGAGAGCUACAGAGUCUGCAGAGAGAGAAGUAGAUAAAGAGAGAGGGGGAGAGAGAGAACCGUAUGAGUCUAGCGAGGUUGCGGCGAUGUUGAAGGCAGAGCCAAAGGCAGUGGCGAGGUAGAGAGAGAAAGAGAAGUCUCCCUCUCCGACGAGAGCAAAAUCCCCUUAAUCAUUUACCCUUUGUAAUUUAAUGCCUACAACUUCAUACUAUUUACCGUUUGCCUUUAGUUUUCCUUCUUUUUUAUGCUGGUUUUCCUUGGGUUUUGCUUUGCGCAGAUGUUUUUCCGAAGAAGUACCGCAAGGCUCAAUCAAAUGUGGAGGUGCUUAAGAAGGUGGGAGCAACAAUUCUACAUGAGAUCGAUGCAACCCAAAUGAAAGAUGAAGUUUUUUUGAAGAAACCACAAGUUUGAUAUAAUUGUCUUCAACUCCCUCAUGUUGGCUUCAAGGGCAAGGAAGAUAAUCCUGCUCUGAUCAGGCAUUUCCCCGGAAAAAAAAAUUGUUAAAAAAAAAAGUUUAUUAAUAAAAUUUGUCAAAUGAAUAAAAUUUUAUC
Molecule: long non-coding RNA, 1228 nt
Organism: Dendrobium catenatum
Lineage: Eukaryota; Viridiplantae; Streptophyta; Magnoliopsida; Asparagales; Orchidaceae
Exons: 2
Source: RefSeq, a predicted model, not a curated record